UACGUAGGGGGCGAGCGUUGUCCGGAUUCAUUGGGCGUAAAGCGCUUUAAGGCGGUUCGGUAAGUCGGGUGUGAAACCUCCAGGCUCAACCUGGAGACGCCACUCGAUACUGCUGUGACUAGAGUUCGGUAGGGGAUCACGGAAUUCCUGGUGUAGCGGUGAAAUGCGCAGAUAUCAGGAGGAACACCGAUGGCGAAGGCAGGUCUCUGGGCCACUACUGACGCUGAGAAGCGAAAGCAUGGGGAGCGAACAGG
RNAcentral lists this ribosomal RNA (254 nucleotides) under uncultured bacterium. RNAcentral describes it as "partial 16S ribosomal RNA". It matches the Rfam family "Bacterial small subunit ribosomal RNA", at positions 524 to 776 of the family's 1533-position model. The record is from RNAcentral.